CAGCAGCCGCGGUAAUACCGGCGGCCCGAGUGGCGGUCACUAUUAUUGGGCUUAAAGCGUCCGUAGCCGGGUUGGGAAGUCCUCCGGGAAAUCUGGCCGCUUAACGGUCAGAAUGCCGGAGGAUACUCCCAGCCUAGGGAGCGGGGGAGGCCGAGGGGAUUCCCGGAGUAGGGGUGAAAUCCUAUAAUCCCGGGAGGACCACCUGUGGGGAAGGCGCUCGGCUGGAACGCGUCCGACGGUGAGGGACGAAGGCCAGGGGAGCAAACCGGAUUAGAUACCCGGGUAGUCCUGGCUGUAAACGAUGCGGACUUUGUGUCGGACAAGCUAUGAGCUUGUCCGGUGCCGGAGGGAAACCGUUAAGUCCGCCGCCUGGGGAGUACGGCCGCAAGGCUGAAACUUAAAGGAAUUGGCGGG
This 414-nucleotide ribosomal RNA is filed under the name uncultured microorganism. RNAcentral's name for it is "bacterial SSU rRNA". It matches the Rfam family "Archaeal small subunit ribosomal RNA", at positions 459 to 872 of the family's 1478-position model. The record is from RNAcentral.